UUGAUCACAGGACCCCGGGAUCACGAGCUGAGCCAAAGACAGACACUCAGCCACUGAGCCACCCACGUGCCCCAGAGAUCUUUUCAUACCUACAUAUAUGGACUUGGUUUUUGUAAUGUCUGCAUAGUCUUCAGGCUUCCACAUUCCAAUCCCUGUGACAGGUCCCACUGGAUGGACCUUGAGGUUGCUUCCAGUUAGUAUUAGGGAAUCAUUAUUAAUAAACAUCCUAGCGUUUCAAAUACAGGCCCCCUGUGGUCUGUCUUCUCAAGAUCCCAGGGAUCUCCUGGAUUUUUUGAUUGGUCCUGUUCUGGGAACUAAACAAGCACCCUUUUGCUAGUCAUGGUCCCUUCAGAGACUGUGCAAUAUAGUCCCCUCAGGCUUUUCCCUCCCCCCAGCCUAUGCCCCUUUACAAUCAUCCUAUUCAGGGAUAUACAAUAAACAUUUGUAUGGUAAAGGCAACUGACAUGGAUUUCUAUGGAGCAGCUGAAAUACCCUGACUCAGCCAGCCUCUGUUUUUUUUUUUUUUUAUAUAUAUAAGGUUUUAUUUACUUAUUCAUGAGAGACACAGAGAGAGAGGCAGAGGGAGAAGCGGGCUCCAUGCAGGGAGCCUGAUGCAAGACUCGACCCUAAGUCUCCAGGAUCACACCCUGGGCAGAAAGCGGCGCUAAACCACUGAGCCACCUGGGCUGCCCCCAGCCUCUGAUUUAUAUUAGGGCUUCCCAUGAGUCCCUUGUGAUUAUAGACGGAGAAAGAACACCCCUCACUCCCAACUCAUGGCAUUAUUGUGCUACUAAGCUUCCCCCAAAACACCAAGCUCUUUUUGGGACCCUCCCAGCUUUCUCUGCACAUGCUUUUCCUUCUCCUCUUCUCAGUGCCUGGCUAACUAAUACCAGCUGGUUCUUCAGGUCUCAGAAGCUACUCCUUCCAGGAAGCCUUUCCUGAAUACCCCACUCCAGCCUGGGUUAAGAGCUACAGAAGCACCCCGUUAUUUCUUGUAGCACGUAUCCCACACUUUGUUGUAAUUCCCUGUUCACAGUUGUCUGUGAACAGUGUGAGGGCACAGUUUGGGUCUUGUUCACUGUUUUGUCCUUGGCGCCUACCACAGAGCCAGGCGGUUUUGUGGCUCAAUAAAUAUCAGUUGAAUGAAUGCACAAACGUCAAGUGCACGAGGAGUGGGGAAGCCACCAAAGUCCCAGAAGCCACAUACACAACCAGAGGCUCUUAAAGCUGGAGACGAAGCAUUCCUUAAGGAACAAAAACCUGACUUCUUGUAGGUACCUUCAAGGAGUAUGUCAUAAGACAAACUGGCAAUCCAAGGGAAAGGAUAGGAUCACAAAAGAAAAUAGUCUCCAGCUGCCUAGCUCCAGGGAAUGUUUGUCAGUGUGACAUUCACAGAAGCCUUGCACAUGUGCUGAGGGGGAGAGCCAGCCUCAGCCAGACAGGAGGGAGUUCAGCUACUGUGCAUAUGUUAGCACUGAGUGAUGUGUGGCUUAGAAGCUUCUUGGCUCUGAGUUUCUUUUCUUUCUUCUUUUUUUUUAACAACAACAACAAAAAACUCCAGAUAUUUCCCAAUUUUAUAUAUAUAUAUAUAUAUAUAUAUAUAUAUAUAUAUAUAUAUAUAAUCUUUAAGGAACGUUUUUAUUUUUGAGGUACUGUUACCAAAUUAUAUUGACUCAGUUCAUUAAAAACCAUAGUACAGAAUUGAUUUGAGUCCAAAAGUAUUAGGAUUCUAUUAAAUAAAUGCUUCUUCUUGCCGCACCCAAAAAAAAACUCAUUAGCACCGUCAUUAAUCAUUUCACACCCCUUCAACCCUUUGCUUGUGUCCCUGAGUUACUCUGCCAUAAAAGAAGUUUCUGAAGGUAUGUGAUAAGGUGGAGCAUGUUUAAGGAACAGUUCUAGGUUGAGGGUAAGGAAUUUGGGGCUGAGAAAGUAAAACUUGUUGAACUUGAGGAGCCCAUCUAUCAUUUUGUGCCUCAGUUCCCCUUUUCUGGAGCUAGAAUAGCUCUUUUUUUAAAUACUAGUUAAUAAAGUCAACAGGUGUUUAUUAAGCACUGUUAGAAAACCACUGGCCCAAAAUGGUGUCACUGAGAUUAAAGCCCCAAGUCAAUUAACCAGGACUUAAUACUUAACCUAACAGCAGUUUCAACCUCCCCCCCCAAAUGUAAUCUUUAACCAGUCAACAUGGGAACUCUUGGGUUAACACUAGGAAAUUUACUGAUAGGCCUCUUCAGUGCCCCUAAGGAGGGUGACUGCCUAAAACAAUGAACUCUUUGCUAACCAUUUGCUUUUUUUCCAUUCCUUCUCUAGCUUUAAAAACCUUUCCUUUUCCAUAGCCCUUUGGAACUCUUGUUUACUUGCUAGACUGGAUGCUGCCUGAUUCAUGAAUCAAUUAAUAAAGCCAAUUAGGGGGCACCUGGCUGGCUCAGUCAGAGGAGCAUGUGACUCUGGACAAGCAUGUGUCAUGAGUUCAACCCACAAUAGUGUAGAGAUUACUAAAAAAUAAAUAAAUAAGCUUUAAAAAAUAAGGCCAAUUAGAUCUUUAAAAUUUAAGGUUUUUCUUAAGAUUUUAUUUUUUUAUUCAUGAGAGACACACAGAGAGAGGCAGAGACACAGGCAGAGGGAGAAACAGGCUCCUCACAGGGAGCCUGAUGUGGAACUUGAUCCCUGAACCCAGGAUCAUGCCCUGAGCCAAAAGCAGACACUCAACGGCUGAGCCACCCAGGUGUUCCAUGGUAUCUUUUAUUAUUGUUAUUUAACAGCACCUACCAUGUGCCAGCAUAGCAUGGCUGACUGGUUGCAGUGGUUCUUAACCUUUUCUGGGGGGAUGCAGAUUUACAGAUCUUUAUGGUAGCCACUAGCCACAUUUGGCUAUUUAUUAACUGGAGUGCCUGGGUGGCUCAGUCAGCUAGCCAUCUGACUCUUGAUUUCAUGAUUUUGGCUCAUGUCAUGAUCUCACGGGUUGUGAGACUGAGCCCCUUGUCAUGGGGCUCCGUGUUCAGCAGAGUCUGAGAUUCUCUCUCCCUAUCUCCCUCUGCCCCUCCCCCAACUCCUCAGGGGUAUAUGUGUGUGUGUGUGUGUGUGUGUGUUCUCUCUCUCUCCCUCUCUCUUGCUAAGGUAAAUAAAUCUUUAUAAAAUAAUAAGAACUAGUUACAAUUAAAUACAAUGAAAAGUUCAGUAUCUCACUUGCACUAGUCAUUGAGUUAUUUCAAGAGCUCAAUAACCACAUGAUUCUAAUGGCUACUCCACAGAACUCAGAUAUAGAACAUAUCCAUCAUUAUACAAAGUUCUAUUGGACAGCACUGCAUGGAUAUUCUCCCCGGAAUUACAACUUCUCUGUUCAAUUUGCAAUACUUUUUAUCCAAAUUUACAAGUUUUACGGUUUUUCAGGGUUGGAGUAGGGGUUGGGUGCAGAGGCAGUCAGUCAUUCACUGGUCCCUGAGCCCCAGAAUCCAAGAAACAGAAGCCCUGAUAUGACAAGCUUUUGGAGAAUUCCAUCUCAGAAUAUAGCAAGCUGACAAAAAUAAAGCAAUAAAGCUGCUACAAAUCCAGUAUGCUCACUGCUUUAAUUGUACCUCCUCAUGUAAAACCAGGAAUCCUACCUAUCUGGCCAUAUUCAAAGAAACAUCAGCUUAUUAGUCAAAAAUAACUGAAAACCAAUGUUAAGGAUUUUCUGUAAUCUCUUAAAGAGACACCAGAGGGGAAUAAUAUUCACAACACACUGCAAAUCUUCUUGAAUUAUCUUUCCUAUCUUUUUCCUCUUCUCAUCCUCCCACACAUGGCACUUGCUUCCUGAAAGCUCUCUGCACUCCCAUCCAAACCCCCUCAAACCUAGUCUGCCGCUGCUUCUCCCUUUCCUCCCCUGCACAGCAAAGUUCUCUAUUAUGUAUCUCUGCAGAAUAUGUUUUAUUUUACUCUGUCACACAAAUACAGUGGCAAAGAAUAACAAAGAGAAAGCUCUCGGGGUGAUGUGACUAGGCACACAUUCCGGUGACCCAACCCACAGCUCUCCCUGGCAGCCUGGACCAGUUUCUUUGAGGUGACUCAUUUUCCCACCAAUGAUUUACUCCCCGCAUCACUUCCUCUUCUAUCCACUGCUCCCAAGGACCAGAGUCUGAGAGAAAUUCAUGACUGAGCCUGACCCAGAAGAAAACAUAUUGCUGGGAUGCUAGAGGGAACUGAUGUCAUAGGGAAAGGAAGAAAACCAGAUGGUCUGGUUCAUAGAAUCUUUUAUCCCUACUGAUAAUUGUUUUAUUAUUACUUUUUAUUGGGCACUGCCCUACUCCCUAGCAGGGAGUGAAUGGCUUGCUGUGGGAAAUACAUUAACUCUUAACACUCUGCCAAGGUCAAAGACUUCUUUUCAAUCUGAAGAGAAGUCCAACAGUGCCAUUCUUAUCUUCAUAUUAGAAGUGAUCGGUGUUAUUCAGCUCCCCUGUAUUUUAGGUGAAAACUUAACCCUGUAGGAAGGGCAGUUCUAUCCCUUGUAUUAGAGAACUCUGAUCCUCAUCCACCAUCAUUUGGUCAUGCUCCUUGAAUUGCUUUUAUUUUUAUCUUUUAUUAUUAUUUUUAAAGAUUUUAUUUUUUAUUCAUGAGAGACACACAGAGAGGCAGAGACACAGGCAGAGGGAGAAGGAGGCUCCACACAGGAAGCCCGAUGCAGGACUCGAUCCUAGAACUCCAGGAUCAUGCCCUGAGCUGACAGCAGACGCCCAACCUCUGAGUCACCUAGGCGUCCCAUCCUUGAAUUGUUUUUAGUGAAGAGGGCACAUAGAGCCUAGAACCAUCACGUUUCUUAUCCUUCCUGUGUUACCCACAUGCAUCUAAACUCAUUGUUGUCCACCCCCUAUAGAUCACUUCCCUCUGCUUUACUCCCCAUCUCAGAAUGCUAUGACUGCAUAACCAGUUCCCUAAGCCAAGAACUUGUAAAUCAACCUGGACUCCUCCUCACUCAGCCCCCACAGCCAGUCUAUCACCAUGUCCUAUGAUAUCGUCUCCUUGGGAUAACUCACCUCCUUAGUAUCUAUCUCUGUCCUCUUACAUCAGGCCAGCGGCAUUUCUUACUUUAAGGACUGCAGAGGUCUCCCAGUAGGUGUCUCCCUGCAUUGGCUCCCAUGUUGCUUCCCCAUGUAACCUGCUAGUCCAUGGGCCAUUUGGGGCUAUCCCUGUUCUUACCUAUACUCACCUUUAGGCUAAUCUGACUACAGUGUCAUAAGUUCCCAGAAGAGUAAGAAUCCAACUACAAAAUCACUAAUGGAAUAUGUAGUUUUAAAUGAAGGAAUCAGGCAGCCCAGGUGGCUCAGCUGUUUAGCGCCACCUUCAGCCAGGGGCCUGAUCCUGGAGUCCCGGGAUCGAGUGUCCCUGCAUGGAGCCUGCUUCUCCCUCUGCCUCUAUUUCUAUCUCUGUCUCUCAUGAAUAAAUAAAUAAAAUUUUUAAAAAAUUUUAAAUGAAGGAAUCUAUGAAGUCCCAGUGGGAGCUUACACUGCAAUUACACAGCAAUAGUUCCUACACAGACCCCUUGUCUCUUCUCUCCAAGAUUCUGCUCACCUCCACUCCCAUUUCAUUAUGGCAGGUAUUGCCACACCUCUCUCUCUCACUCCCUUUCCUUUCCCUACUAUCCUGCAGCUGCCCUCUAGUUAAAUUAGUUCUUGGUUGCCUCCUCCACAUUUCUAAUCCUUUCAGCUGCCACUUCCUUCUGAGAAGAUCUCAUCCCAACAUAACUCCUUAAAGCCUUCAUGGCUACUCACUGCUCUCAGUAGAGUCCACAUUCCCUAACAUGUUCUACUAGGCUUUGCAAGCCCCGGCCCCAGCUCCUUCCCCUUCUGCCCCAGACAUA
RNAcentral lists this long non-coding RNA (5830 nucleotides) under Canis lupus familiaris (dog). Its description in RNAcentral is "lncRNA (ENSCAFG00000052444.1)". Lineage: Eukaryota; Metazoa; Chordata; Mammalia; Carnivora; Canidae. The record is from RNAcentral.